Molecule: ribosomal RNA, 463 nt
Filed under: uncultured bacterium
Lineage: Bacteria
Description: bacterial SSU rRNA
Rfam family: Bacterial small subunit ribosomal RNA
Source: RNAcentral
CCAGACUCCUACGGGAGGCAGCAGUGCGGAAUAUUGGUCACUGGGCGGGAGCCUUCCCCAGCCAAUUCGCUUGAGGGAUGACGGCCCUAUGGGUUUUCCCCCUCUUUUGCCUUUGAGCAAAGUGCCGCACGUGUGCUUUUUUGAGAGUACCCUUCUAAAAAGCCUCUUCUAACUCCGUUCCCUCAGCCGCGUUCCUCCGGAGGAUUCGCUCUUUAUCCGGAUUUAUUGGGUUUAAAGGGUGCGUAGGCGGACGCUUAAGUCGGGGGUAAAAUUGCGGGGCUCAACCUCGUCGAGCCGUUGAAACUGGGUGCCUUGAGUGGGCGAGAAGGACGCGGAAUGCGUGGUGUAGCGGUGAAAUGCAUAGAGAGAAAGCAGAACGCCGAUGGCGAAGGCAGCGUACCGGCGCCCAACUGACGCUGAAGCACGAAGGCGUGGGGAGCGAACAGGAUUAGAUACCCCCGUA